Molecule: ribosomal RNA, 435 nt
Filed under: uncultured Lachnospiraceae bacterium
Lineage: Bacteria; Bacillati; Bacillota; Clostridia; Lachnospirales; Lachnospiraceae
Description: bacterial SSU rRNA
Rfam family: Bacterial small subunit ribosomal RNA
Source: RNAcentral
ACGGAAGGCAGCAGUGGGGAAUAUUGGACAAUGGGGGGAAACCCUGAUCCAGCGACGCCGCGUGAGUGAAGAAGUAUUUCGGUAUGUAAGGCUCUAUCAGCAAGGAAGAAAAUGACGGUACUUGACUAAGAAGCUCCGGCUAAAUACGUGCCAGCAGCCGCGGUAAUACGUAUGGAGCAAGCGUUAUCCGGAUUUACUGGGUGUAAAGGGAGCGUAGACGGCAAAGCAAGUCCGAAGUGAAAUCCCGGGGCUCAACCCCGGAACUGCUUUGGAAACUGUUUAGCUAGAGUGCAGGAGAGGUAAGCGGAAUUCCUAGUGUAGCGGUGAAAUGCGUAGAUAUUAGGAGGAACACCAGUGGCGAAGGCGGCUUACUGGACUGUAACUGACGCUGAGGCGCGAAAGCGUGGGUAGCAAACAGGAUUAGAUACCCUGGUA